CCGCAGCCAGGGAGCCAGUUAGCUGUCUUUUUAAGGCUCCCUGGACAUAAACAGCAUUUUCCAUACUGGGAGCCCAGCAGAGAGGCUUAAACAAAAAUACCAAAGAGGAGGCCUAAGUGAAAGAAAGUCAGGGGAAGGGACCCCCCCACCCCCCCCCACCCACACACGCACCAGUUAAUGGGAGAGUAAAAAAAGAAAGAAAAACCCCAGAAAGCCUCAGUGCUGUGCACAGAUCCAGUGACCUCCCUGGAGGCCCCCCUCCCUCUGGCCUUCCCCGUGUCUUCCACAAGACCACAGAGUUCUGUGGCCAAGCCUCAGCCUGGUAACUUGGGGCGCUGGUCCCAGGGAGGUGCAGGGGGCCUAUAGGAAUGGACUCCCCCUUGCAUGGGAAAGAUGCUCUCUCAGAAGCAAGGGGACUAGACUGCUGUUAGAGGCCAUGCGGGCCCUUCUUGGGGUCCCCUCUGUCCUUUUCUCAUCCCAGCACAACAGAGACACCUUGGCCCUCUGCUGCCCACCUGCCCAUCUCUACCAGGCUUUGCCCAUGUCACCCCAAAGCUUCUGUGCACCAGACUCUGGGUCCUGCGGGCCUUUCUCCCUGUGUCGGUGAUGUACACACAACCUCCCAGAACUGCAUCAUGAUGAGUAAGUGUUGCCAUGGAUACCAUGCCCUUGCCACUUGUCUGGAUGGCAUUAAACACUAGUAUCAUUAAAAACAUUUGUGCCUUGGUUUUAGUGACUCAUUGUGCC
Molecule: long non-coding RNA, 747 nt
Filed under: Chinchilla lanigera (long-tailed chinchilla)
Lineage: Eukaryota; Metazoa; Chordata; Mammalia; Rodentia; Chinchillidae
Description: lncRNA (ENSCLAG00000028858.1)
Source: RNAcentral